CACUCCAUCUCUCUCUGGCGCAUGGGACCCCCCCUCUCCUGCUUCUCUUCCUCGUAGGGCACCUCUGGCGGGUUGUUGCGCUGCCUGAUAUCUCCACCGCCCACGGCCUCGCCUUGUCCCAACUACAAAAGCGAACCCAAUCCCUCUUGACUCCUCUCAUCCGCCUCGUCUAACCACCACCACGAGGGAGAGUUAAAGUCGCCAGUACAGAAGAGUGAAGGGGAGAGGGUUGCUGGGUCCGAUUCGGUGGGCUCAUCGCCGUCGGGUCCACGAAUUGGUGCCUAGGAGUCUCGCGUGCUUCGGGGACAUAAUCGAUGGUCUCGCUGCGGUGGGUUGGUGGCUGGAGACCUCAGAAUUCGUCGUCAUAGUGCGAGCUCCUCCGCGUGUGCACCGUGCGCCGUGGCCAGGGGUGUCUGCGCUGCAAUUGCCAGUAAGACACCUUCUCUGAAGUUCGUCAUCUUCCCUAUUACGUCUAGAGUGGAUCCAUUUUUAUAAUAGGGCAUCUGUGCGUCGAGGUGCCACUCGCCGGCAAGGUCCUACCAGGGAGCGCUGGGCUCUGCCACGGCGUGCCGCCGGAAUAGGUGAAGACGUAUGUGUGCCCAUAGAUCAUAAAACCAAUGGUUGAGAUUGGAAUUUGGCAUAACCCUUCACAAGGUGGAUAUGAUUCGUUGGAUCGCGAUCAGGCGGAUGCCAUGCGAUCCGCGCUAUUUAAAACUGUGGUCGUUGGAUCUAGAUAUGAGGGCCUACGUACAGUACCUAUUCAGAUGAGGACAGAUCUAAUCUGUGUCGUUCGCUUCUGUUCAGAUGCUGAAAGAUCUGAAAUGUACAUUGAAAGAUAGUUGAGUACCAUCAAUGGGGCUGGAAAAAGCUCGGGUUCGACAAGCCACCUCGAGCUCGUUGUGGCUCCGCUCAAGACAGCUCGUGAACUCCUGGAGAGCCGAGCCAAGCCGGUUUUCUGAGCUCGGUAAAGGGGCGGGUCAAGCCAAUCCAACUCGUAUGAGCUCGCAAGCUGGCUCACAAGCUAGCCCUUGCACAACGCUACAGGCUACAACCCACAACGUCCCAUAAUCCCAAGGCCUAAUCUUGCAAUAGACCAACAUGUUACAUGUACAUAGGUUACAAAGGUUACAAGUAAGGAACACAACAUAACCACCCCACCCCUAAUCCUAUAUGUUGCGUCUGUGUGGUGGCUGGUUACUCGAGAGACGACCGAGAGCUCGAGACUAGAACACUGGACGACGUCGCGUCGAUGCCGCCUCCGCCCUCUAGGCCCUCCACCAUCUAGUCGAAGUCGAGUAGUUGACCACUGCCAGUCCAUCACCUCAUCCUCGCCUGCUUGGAGCUUGCGAGGACUCAGCCUCAUGUGGUCGAUUGUUGGUGGCUCGGUGCCUCCGUGCCUCAGUGAGACGGCGCUCCUGCUCCUGCGUCCUCCUCCGCUAGUAGCCUUCAGGAGCUCUGUGCUCGCAGAAGGUGCGACAGGAAUGGGCUGAGUGCAACAUGUCUGAGAGCCUAUUUGCGUUCACGUAACCGAAAGAGUGUCCACCUCCUCCGUGUUUAUACACACGCAAAGGGAGGGGAACGGGCAGUAACGGUCGCCAUAAACAUGCGUAAAGGGAGGGGAACAGAUAGUAACGGUCGCCAUAAGAGCCAGAAAUUGACAACCGCUAGAAACCGACGUGCCAUAAGAGACAUCCGUUACUAGCCAUAAGACAGGACAUAGACGGUCAUUACUCCAGGCACAAUGCACAAUUGUUAGGAAGGAAUAAUCAGACCAAGGUCCGAUCUACCACGAGCCACGGCUAUAGCCCGACCCGGCCGACGGCACGCGCGCGUGUGGCAGUCCUUCAUCCUUUUCUCAAGUUCUCAAUAGAUGCACCAAUGCUCCACCUAUUUAAGUUGAUUGAUUUCUUCCUUGAACUUCCAAUAUGGUACUAAAUUAUUAGUAUACCAUAGCAUUAAAGUGAUCCUUUAGCAUUGACUAUUAUUGAAUAUUAAUUUAGGUCAAGUCCACAUUAAUCCAACAGUACCCAAUUAGGAUGGUUGAGCAUACAUGGUUUAACAUUUUCAUGAAGUAUUUGAAUCCACAAUAUGAGUUCAUUGGUAGGAAGACAAUUAGAGCAGAAUGCUUGAAGGUGUAUGAGUCUGAAAAAGAAAUACUUUCAAAGGCCCUUAAAGGAGUGGAUUAUAUUUCAUUGACCACUGAUUUAUGGACUUCUAAUCAAACAUUGUCACAUAUGUGUUUGGUUGCAUACUACAUAGAUAGUGAUUGGAAAAUGCAAUGUCGUGUGCUAAAUUUCUGUCACACCCAGAUUCAAAGGAUAAAGUCGGGUGUGUCUCAUAUGUGCGCCAAGGAAGAACAAUAGAUAUAAUAACAGAGUGCAUAGAGAUAAAUGUCAUAAAUAUCAUAAAUGUACUUAUUACAUAGCGGAAGUCUUAUAAAAUAAAUGAUAAACAUAAAAUGAACUAAUUAUUAUUUCCCUGGUGCCACAAGGCUGACUGGGAGACGUCACCUAGAUCAAGUCGAACUCCUCGUUGCGCGGCUCCUCUUCGACCACCUGCUCUUCACCUGUGGGGGGAGGGGGUUAUAUAUCGCAAGAGUGAGCUCACAAAAGAUCAUAGCUCAACAAGUUGUGGGGAAUAAUGUGCAUGAACUCACCAAAGGUGGGAGUUCAUGUGAAGUGUAAGGCUGAUCAACAAAAUAAAGGUUGAAGCUGAGCAUUGCUUUUAUAAGUUGGUCAAAAUUUUAUUAGCAGUUACUAAGUGUAAGUAAAUAUCAAACCAUAGUAAUAAUAAAUAAAAGUAAUAGUAAAAUAAUACCAAUGCAAUGCAGAUGACAAAUUGAAUUUAGUUCCAUAAGUUAAUCAUGUGAGGGCCCGAGCUGCUCAUGACCGUGAGCACGGUUGAUAUACCAGUUUUACACUCUCAGAGGUUGCAUAUCUUUACCCACAAGUCAUAGACGGGCCUCGCCGCAGCACACCCCUGUGCCCCCAAACUCCAUUCUAACGGGUUGUACACGACUAUGGGACACGUGCGGAUUCGAUGGGGGGGCAUACUCACCGGAGACGGGGUCGAAAGAGGCCGACCAAGACGCUUGGCGGUCCGGUGUUGUUGAAGGUACUCCGACGAGCAAUUGCCGGAGUUGUGGUGCCCUUCUGCUCCCCUGAUGACCACCCGCACUUCCGCGAUGACCAGCCGAACACCCCAAAGCCACAUGCUGUGACCAAUCGGUGGCGCAGGCGUGAUUCAUCUGACGGCCAUGCGUGACCUACUUCCACCGAGCGCUGCGCUACUAGGGUUCUGGCAGCGGGAGCGUUCGACGGGGAAUGGAUUCGCAGGCGCGUUGCGAUCUAGAGAGGGAGAGGAACUACCGAGCUUAUAGCCUCGAUGAGGCAGAGCGUGCGCGGGUGCAUCGCCGCUGUCUUUGCGGGUCCGUUGCAACGGCGACGAAGCAGCUGACUGGUGGGGUCACUUGCCAGCGGCAGACCAGCAGAAGCUCGUGUGGACUCAGCGAAAGGAACGGGUGCGGGAGUGGCCGACAUUGGGGGGCCACCUGCCAUCGCGAGUAUUCCGCAGCCAGCGUGCGCGUAGGACGCUGACCCGUGGGACCCAUACGUCAGUAGCACAGAGGGUUGGGCUACAGGGAGAGAAAGGUUAGAUGGGCCGAGAAUUGGGCCCAAUCACCGGGAUUCCUUUUUUCUUUUAUUCUUUUUAUUUUCUGUUUCCCUUUUUCCUCUCUUCCAAAUUCAAACUCCAAUUCCAAUUUAAUCCAAAUCUUUGUGGCAAUUUUGCCUUCACAUUAAAAUGUUUAUUUUGAACAUGGUAUGGGAUAAUUUAUUAUUUUUUUAUAAUUUUAUUUUGUUUUGUAUAGUAUUUCUCUCUUUCUAUAUUAUUUCCAAUUUCCCCUAAUUUGCCCUUUUAGGGUUAAAUCAAAAUUCUCAACUCAUUAUUAUCUCUUUAUCCCUGUUACUAUUUUAUUAGAUGCACAAACAACUAAACUCCAGCAUGAUGCACAUUUUAUUGAGAAUUAUCCACUUUAUAUAAGUCUCCUAAUAAUUCUCAUGAAUGAAGAGAUACUACACAUAAAGACUUAUUUCUUUCUCUUAUAUUCCAAAGUUAGGUAUUACAAUUUCUUUGAGUUAGAUCCUCCACACAAAGAACCUAUGAUAGGGCAAGCAGCCUAUGAGUGUGUUACAACAUGGAAAAUAGAGGAUAAGAUUAUUUCUAUCACUUUAGAUAAUGCUUCAAACAGUGAUGGUGUUGUGUGUGGUUUGAGGGCUAGAUUUGCUGCUAGACGGGGAAAUACAUUCAGUUCAAAAUAUUUCCAUGUUCGUUGUUGUGCACAUAUUAUAAAUUUGGUUGUCAAUGAUGGGACUACUAUUUUGGCUUCUUUGAUAGACAACCUAAGAUCAACUGUGAAAUACAUUAAGAAAUCCCCAUCUCAUAUGCAUAAAUUUGUAGAGAUUUGUAGAUCUCUUGCAUUGCAAAUUGGAGAGGGUUUGAGUCUUGAUGUGUCAACUAGAUGGAGUUCAACAUACAAGUUGUUGAGUACUAGUAUAGCUUACAAAGAAGCAAUUCAAACGUGUCGAUGCUGAUUUAAAUUAUAAAUGGGAAACUACAAAUUAGGAAUGGGAUUUAUUUGUUGCGAUUGAGCCAAUUCUUGCCUCUUUAGCCAAAGUAACCAGUUCAUUGUUAGCUUCUACAUAUCCUACUGCAAAUCUUUUCUAUCCUCACAUGUGGAUGUCAAGAUUGCAUUGAGAAAAAUGGGUACUGUGAUGAUGGAGAAGAUCAAUAAGUACUGGGAAGAAAAAACAUAAUGUUAUGGUUAUUGCUACAAUUCUAGAUCCAAGGUGUAAGAUGAGGUAUAUCGAGUGGUGCUUUGGUUAGAUCUCUAAUGGUGACCAAGUUAGAUUUGAGAUAGAUGAAGUUCGAGGUGAGUUGGAAAAAUUAUUUGAGGACUGUUAGUUGCAACAUAGAGUGAGAAAAGCUCCUCAAAGCAAAUCUAGUGGUUGUUCUUCAUAUUUAACCAUUGAUACUACUUGUAGCUUGUCUUCUGCUUCAUGCAAAUUUCAGUCAUUUAUAUCAUCCACUGAAGCUAACCCAUCAAAGGGUGAGUUGCUUAUCUAUUUAGAUGAGACAAAUGUCAGUCUAGCAGAUAAGGAGUUUGAUUUGUUGAGCUAGUGGAAGGUUAAUUCACAUAGGUUUCUGGUUGUCUCAAGGAUGGCAAUGAAAUUCUUAAUUGUACGAGCAACAUUUGUGCCUUCAGAGUCUACUUUUUGCACGGGGGUAGAACUUUAGAUAAUUAUCGGAGUUCUCUCAUCCCUUCUUGGUGGAGGCUUUGGUAUGCUCCUCGAGCUGGAUUCGGGGUUCGCAUGAUUUAAGCAUAACAUAUGUGGUUAUUAGUUGCUCUUUUAUUGUUUAUUAGAGUUCAUUUCUUAUGUUUGUUUUCAGAUUUUGAUUCACAUUUGUGUUUGUUUUAGGGCAUACAAGAUGACGAUGGUAUGAAGACUAUCUCAUUUCCAAAAAGCUUUGUGCAGAGCAACUAGUAAUAUACGUUGCAAUUUAUUAGUUGUAUUUAAUACUUUAAUUAUGGCUAGUAAGAAUGUAAGCUGCUUAUGUACAUUUGUUUUCUUGUUCAGGUGCAAUGCAAGUGUUUGGUGCUUUUGGUUGAUAGAAGCUGCUGGAUGCUUUUGGUAUUUUUGAAAGAUGCAAGUCGUGCUUCUGGUUGAUACUUAGAAGUUGGUGGUUCAAAACUGAAAAACCUGUCAGGCUGUCACUUGCUUUUGGUAUUGUUAUGCUUAUAUAUGAUGUUAUGCACUUAUGCAGUUCAGCAUGUUUGCUGCCUGCCUGCUUGCUGCUCAGCUGCAGCCUGGAGGCUGGUGCUUAUCUGAGAGUACUAAGUUAUCUGAUGUGAUCUGUAAAACUUACUCAGUUCUUGUCAAACUUAAUCUGUUAACAGGUUUCUUGUCAAACUGCUGGGCGCCUGAACACUGCUGUGCACCGUACGUCAGGCUGUCCUCAUGCAUCUGUUAACAGAUCUUUUGUCCUCUGCUGCUUAGACUGCUUUAUGAAAUUUGAAAUGUGAUGAGACUUAUGCCUUAUGGUGACUGGUGAUAGCUUAUUAGAUUAGAGUAUCAUACUUUUGGUCAUGGUCUUAUGGAAUAUGGAAUGUGAUGGGAUCAUUGGACCGCAUGGUAUGGGUCAUGGAUGUGUAAAUAAAUUAUAAUUUCAUUAUUUCAUCUCUCGUCUAUUAAGUAUUAACAGUUUAUUACUGUGUUGUCUAUCUUGUGACCUGAAAAUAGCUUCAAAUCUGUAACUUAUGCUUGCUGGCAAC
This 6331-nucleotide long non-coding RNA is filed under the name Zea mays. Its description in RNAcentral is "long non-coding RNA (ZMAY_LNC000358)". Lineage: Eukaryota; Viridiplantae; Streptophyta; Magnoliopsida; Poales; Poaceae. The record is from RNAcentral.